UACGUAGGUGGCAAGCGUUGUCCGGAAUUACUGGGUGUAAAGCGCGUGUAGGCGGGAGGCCAAGUCUGCUGUGAAAUCGCUCGGCUCAACUGGGCGGGGUCGGUGGAAACUGGUCACCUGGAGGACGGUAGAGGCGAGUGGAAUUCCCGGUGUAGUGGUGAAAUGCGUAGAGAUCGGGAGGAACACCAGUGGCGAAGGCGGCUCGCUGGGCCGGUCCUGACGCUGAGACGCGAAGGCGUGGGGAGCGAACGGG
RNAcentral lists this ribosomal RNA (253 nucleotides) under uncultured bacterium. Its description in RNAcentral is "partial 16S ribosomal RNA". It matches the Rfam family "Bacterial small subunit ribosomal RNA", at positions 524 to 776 of the family's 1533-position model. The record is from RNAcentral.